UACAGAGGUGGCAAGCGUUGUUCGGAAUUACUGGGCGUAAAGGGCGCGUAGGCGGCCCGUCAAGUCCCGUGUGAAAGCCCCCGGCUCAACCGGGGAACGGCGCGGGAAACUAGCAGGCUUGAGUUCGGGAGAGGGAAGCGGAAUUCCCGGUGUAGUGGUGAAAUGCGUAGAUAUCGGGAGGAACACCAGUGGCGAAGGCGGCUUUCUGGCCUGUUCUUGACGCUGAGGCGCGAAAGCUAGGGUAGCAAACGGG
Molecule: ribosomal RNA, 253 nt
Filed under: uncultured bacterium
Lineage: Bacteria
Description: partial 16S ribosomal RNA
Rfam family: Bacterial small subunit ribosomal RNA
Source: RNAcentral